Molecule: antisense RNA, 93 nt
Filed under: Staphylococcus argenteus
Lineage: Bacteria; Bacillati; Bacillota; Bacilli; Caryophanales; Staphylococcaceae
Description: Fst antitoxin sRNA
Rfam family: Fst antitoxin sRNA
About the family: It is located on the opposite strand of SprA1 sRNA.
Source: RNAcentral
GCGGUAGUGAGGGGAUUUUUAUUGGUGCGGCUAUAUGUCACCUAUUUUGUAUUGCGUCUACUUAGCCAAUAAGAAAAAACGCAAUGGCACAGC